UGUAAAAAAUUUCUGUAAAUUUACAGCAUAUUAACAGCGUAAAUAUACAGUACUGAACUGUUUUCUAAAAUUACGGUGUCUUACCGUAAAUGCACACGUGAUCGGUGGGAGAGGGGGAACCAAAGGCUAGCUGAUGCAUGGAGGAGCAUGGAUUCAGUCAAAGUUUUAUGGAUUUCAUCUCAAGUUGAGGCUCAUUUACAGGAACAUGAAGAUGGACUGGUUUCACAUGCAGAUGUUGCAGCAUCUGCAUCUGAGGUUGAGAAGACACUCAAUCUACCUGCCAAUCCUCAUCUGAUUUUGCUGGUCAACAUUUUUGACUGCAGUUGCAACAGUGUUUGCUGUGUACUACAUCUUCAACCUGCAGUAUCAAGAGGCUAGAGGUUAGAAUUUUUUCAAAGAUGAUUCUAUGGAAUAAACCCAGAAAGAGGCUCAAAGACCUGCCGAGGCAAGGUAGUCUCCAAGAAGACGGGGAAGGUGGUGAAUAAGAAGUCCACUACAGUCAAUCCAAAGGUUGCCACUCUACAAAAAAAUCGAAU
This is a long non-coding RNA of Carassius auratus (goldfish), 536 nucleotides long. RefSeq lists it as uncharacterized. Lineage: Eukaryota; Metazoa; Chordata; Actinopteri; Cypriniformes; Cyprinidae. The record is from RefSeq and is a predicted model, not a curated record. The transcript is spliced from 5 exons.